UGUGGGGAUGGCCAAAUCCUCAGGUGGUGCAGCAGCAGCAAAGGCUGAAGGAGAUGGGAGACCACUCAUCUGGAGCUGGCGUGGAAGAAGGUCUCUCUUCACCUAUCCACCAGCUUUCUGGGCUUAAAUCUUGUGUUUUAUGGACUAGCCAUGUGAAAGUAUGGUGCUUCCAGCCACAUUCCCUGCUGCAGUGGGGCAAUGGAUGUUAUCACACCUGGUCUGAGGUUUGGCCAGUAAUUCCUGACCUGCCAGAAUCCUGGUUUUACCUGUUUUCCUCUUGGCUGAUACCAGUCCAAGCUUCUGCCCUAAUCAAACCUGGGCUUUCCAGCUACUCAUGCUCCCUAUUUUAGUUACAUGUGUGGAAGAGAAGACCCAGCUAUCUGCCAAAGCCAUCAGCCUGCAAGCACCACAGGAACUCAUGUGCUCUCCCUGCUGAUCUUGCUGGUUUUGUCAGGAAAAGCAGUCCUGGCUGCAGAGGACGUCUGGUGCUCACAGGAGGGACAAAGCAGAUCCAAAACUGUAGCAUCGUGGCCGCCCAGAGAACGCUGGAUCCAGUCUGGUCACCCAAACACUGCCUGCCUGCAGCUUCUGAGCAGACAAAAGAAAACCCAUCCAAACUGUGGGUUUAUGUUUGUUUUCCACGCUCCACCAUUGAAAUUCCGUGUGAAAGGUAAGCUCACCUGGAGAUGUGGCUUUGGCAAGUCUUGCUAUGCUGCCAAAGCCUUCAGAAAUGCCCUU
RNAcentral lists this long non-coding RNA (738 nucleotides) under Junco hyemalis (dark-eyed junco). RNAcentral describes it as "lncRNA (ENSJHYG00000013355.1)". Lineage: Eukaryota; Metazoa; Chordata; Aves; Passeriformes; Passerellidae. The record is from RNAcentral.